UUUGCACAAUAAACCAGGGUGAUUUACACUAGCUCAGCGUACGUGAAAUCGAUUAAAAAAAAGGCUAACAGCUACGGUGUCUGCCGAUGAGAUGGGGGUAACGACCAUAGAUUGUAAUUCAGUAGCAACGGCCCAAUCACCGGGCUCGACACAUGACAUCCAGUGGCAACGGCCCAAUCCCCGGGCUCGACACAUGACAUCCAGUGGCAACGGCCCAAUCCCCGGGCUCGACAGAUGACAUCCAGUUGAGGCCGUGCCGUGGAAGCUAACGAAGUAGCCAACGGAAGCUAACGAAGUAGCCGAGCAGCUAGCUAGGUGUGUUUUUGCUCUGUUACAUCUCAGGAAACGAAUACGACGCCAAAGCAACUCCUCUCGACUGGCUCGCCAGCUAGCUGCUCAGCUAGCCCGCUAGCUAUCAACAAUAAUCCGGGUCGGACCGAUUCGUUCUUCAUUCGUCAACCAGCGGGGAAUGUUUAAACUUUAAUGUAUGGGAAAACAUUCGUUCUUCGGUCUUUAAGUCGGUCUGUGCCGACAUCAAUACAGAAUGGAGCUAAUUUCGACAAUAAAUGAGAAAUUUGACGAUUGUUGCGAUGAUCGAGAGUCUCUCCUCUCGUAGAACAAAAUGCCGACCGGAAGUUCUGUCGUCGGACUGACCAAAGAUCUCAGGAGUGACUCCCUCCAUCGGCGCCAAACGAAAUGCCAUGUGAUGUGUCGCGUAACAACCGCUAGAGGGUAGCGUUGAACAAGUUUCUGCAAAUAUUUCCCCAUAAGAGGUUGCUUUUGACGGACUUGAUGAUGAUCAUGGCGUGUGGUGCUUUUGGUCAAUAAAUUCAAAGACAACAAACCAAGUAGUUGGAACCCAUGAACAAACAGCAUUUACGUUUGAAUAGCAUUUUAUGUGUUAUUAAGUGGAGAUCUUUGAUAUGCAUGUUCUUUUAUUUUAAGAUAAACUACUUUUAUUUACUGAGAAACUAGGCCUGCUGCCACGGAUUUCAUUCACCGUUAGUGGUUUUCAAAAUUGUCAAAACAUUUGGGUUUGUUAAGGAGUCAAUGCCCCUAAAGAUUUAUUGUAUCUGUUUCUGCCAGUUCAUUAUUCUAUGAUUCACAGUUCUAUAUGUAUCUUUAAACAAGGGUGGAAGGUGCAAGGAAGUACAUACAUGUUAGACUCGGUUUUGUUUGAUAUGAUUAUUUAUUUUCUCCUUUUAAAUAUACUACUCACACAAUUUGUUUCAAGCUACAUGAAACAUAAUUUAAAAUAGUAUAUGGGGCCUCAAAUAUGUAAACAAAUUGAUACUUAAAGGAUGCAGUUAUUUCCAAAUGUCAUUGGGUUUUGAAUGUAGACAAUCAAUCAACACUACAAUUAUUAAUCAUUCAUUUUUUAUUUAAAAAAAAAUCUCUGCGGGGGGGGGGGGGGGGGGGGGGGAGGUUUUACAAAGAUAAAGUUGGAUAAAAAAUGAUGACAGCCAUUGUAAACAUUAGAAUUUCAGGGUGUUUAGACAAAAUGGUCCAUUUCAAUCCAGUAAUGCAAGGCAAUCUCAUUGUGGUUUUCAAGUUCUAAAGCAGGAGGAUCCUCUUCAAGUACCCUGUACAUGUCACUUCUAAAGUUAAUAUACUCUACAUCCAUAUCUACAUUUCUCUAUACAACUUCUAUUAAGUCCUCUGUACUCAUCAUUUUGAAAUAGAAAAAAAAGCUCAAUAAAUGGAAUAAGAUAAUAUAAAAGUAUGUUAUUAUAGAGCAAAAAAAAACGUAAUGUAUAUAGAACAAGCAACUACAAUUGAAAAUAUUAAACUCUAAAAUGUACUAUUGUUUACCAUUAAUUUAAAAUCGCCCAAGAAUAAUAAGCAUGCAAAAUAUACACAGAACUGAAAUACAUCAAAUGUGUGGAAUGAAGGGAAAGAAAGUUAUCUAAUUAUAAAAUAAGUUACUUUCUCCUCCUUGGGGUUUUUGAAUUAUUUGGUUUAAGAAUACUAACAAUACUUAUUCUCACUUUUGAUUAUUCAGUUUUUAGGCAAUUAUUUGAUGCAAACAUAUAUUGUCUAAACAUAUUUGGACCCAAUGUGGAAAAUAGACAGAUCCUAAUUCUAAUUUCCAUAAAACAUUUUCGGGACAGCAAUCCAUGUAGCCUUCUCCAUAUAAAAAAAACAACAACUCAAAUGUCUAUGGAAAACUUUGGAUAAAAACUCUUUUAUUCCAAUGGAAAGCUAUUAAACAUUUGGUUGGAAGUUGGUCUCAUGAAACUUUCCUUUCGUUGCCAUUUAUAACAAACUGUAUUCUCUGAAGGCAAAAAAAAAAAA
Gadus morhua (Atlantic cod) is the source of this 2295-nucleotide long non-coding RNA. RefSeq lists it as uncharacterized. The record is from RefSeq and is a predicted model, not a curated record. The transcript has 2 exons. Lineage: Eukaryota; Metazoa; Chordata; Actinopteri; Gadiformes; Gadidae.